Molecule: non-coding RNA, 1015 nt
Organism: Momordica charantia (bitter melon)
Lineage: Eukaryota; Viridiplantae; Streptophyta; Magnoliopsida; Cucurbitales; Cucurbitaceae
Source: RefSeq, a predicted model, not a curated record
CCUCUAAACGGUUCAAUUGCAAAUUGCAAUUAGGGUUUUCAAGGCUAACGCCAUCGUUACGUAGCCGUUCUCAUCACUCUCUGUUCUUACAUUUAAAAAGUUUUCUCCCCCUUCUUAUCUAUAAUCAAUUCAUGUUUCUCUUCUGGACUUUUGAAAAUUUUGUCUUACUCUGAUAAUGGGCGGUUUUAGGGUUAAAAGGUGGAUGCGGCGAGAUGGAUGAUUUAGAAAAUCGAAAUCUCGCUUUGCGAUUGUUCGAUGAAGGUAUCUGGUUGGUGUUUUCCCGUUGAUCGACUCUUCAGGUGGGUGUGAAGGAAGAAGGGGAUGAUCCUCGUUCGCAUCGUAAAUUGGAACUACUGACCUCCCAAAUUUCCACAUGGUUUACUGAUACCAAAGAGCCAUUUAUGAAAUCGGUGGUUUAGAACGUAUUCUCGGGGAUGGUUUGUUAUCUCUAGAUGUUCUGGCUCUUGAUGGCAGCAUUAAAGAGGUAGAUGAAAAAAAUUUACUGUCAUGCAUGCGGAAUGUUUGGAGGGUGAUUUUAGAAGUAUUGAAAGAUUAAGGCAAUCCCGUCCACCACGAGUUGUUCAUACUCGUGUUAGUCAGGAUGAUGUUAGAAGUGGAAGAGAUGUGAGGAAGAGGAUGUUGGUGGAUGCUGAAGAAGACCAUUCAAACUCUUCAACUUUGCCAGAGGCUGCAGCUGAAACUGAAGAUGGAUGGGUUCGGGUCUGACAUCGACGUGUCGAUAUCCGCUCUUAAUCUAUAUCUUUAAUGUCUUUUCUUAUUCCUGCGCAUCAACCAGCAAUUUCUGUUUGGUGCUAAAAUAGGUCAACUAUCAGAAUUCAGCUUAGCAUUAUCGUAUGCCCUAAUUUAAAUUAUUGAUUUUUUCCCUCAUUUGUUUUGCUUUUACCGGAUUUCUUUCAACCAAGGAAUGACAAGAAACCUAUAUUACAUGGGAAUAUUUUGAAUUGGAGAGUGGAUAUUUAAGGUUUAAAUACUAUUUGUAUUUGGUUUUGGUUCA